This 75-nucleotide transfer RNA is filed under the name Mycobacterium phage LoneWolf. RNAcentral's name for it is "tRNA-Glu". It matches the Rfam family "tRNA". From Rfam's summary of the family: Transfer RNA (tRNA) molecules are approximately 80 nucleotides in length. Their secondary structure includes four short double-helical elements and three loops (D, anti-codon, and T loops). The record is from RNAcentral. Lineage: Duplodnaviria; Heunggongvirae; Uroviricota; Caudoviricetes.
GGUCCAUUGGAGUAGCGGCAAACUCACCACCCUCUCAAGGUCGGAGACCGCGGGUUCGAAUCCCGCAUGGACUAC